Molecule: ribosomal RNA, 446 nt
Filed under: uncultured bacterium
Lineage: Bacteria
Description: partial 16S ribosomal RNA
Rfam family: Bacterial small subunit ribosomal RNA
Source: RNAcentral
CCUACGGGAGGCUGCAGUCGAGAAUCAUUCACAAUGGGGGAAACCCUGAUGGUGCGACGCCGCGUGGGGGAAUGAAGGUCUUCGGAUUGUAAACCCCUGUCAUGUGGGAGCAAAUUAAAAAGAUAGUACCACAAGAGGAAGAGACGGCUAAAACUGUGACAGCAGCCGCGGUAAUACAGAGGUCUCAAGCGUUGUUCGGAAUCACUGGGCGGAAAGCGUGCGAAGGCGGUUUCGUAAGUCGUGUGUGAAAGGCGCGGGCUCAACCCGCGGACGGCACAUGAUACUGCGAGACUAGAGUAAGGGAGGGGGAACCGGAAUUCUCGGUGUAGCAGUGAAAUGCGUAGAUAUCGAGAGGAACACUCUUGGCGAAGGCGGGUUCCUGGACAUUAACUGACGCUGAGGCACGAAGGCCAGGGGAGCGAAAGGGAUUAGAUACCCUAGUAGUC